CGGUCAAAAGGGGGCGUGUGUUGGGUGUUGGGGAGGGGUUGGGUGGUGGCCGCCGCCGCGUCGCGCUCCUUCUCCUUCGCUUCUACCACUUCAAGGACUUCGGCCCGUUCCGCCACUAGGACGACGUCCCUUCCAUGCGGCCCUUCUUCCGCCACUAGCACGCGCACAAGCUCCUCCCGUGGGCGCUGGCGGGGAUGCCCGUGACGGAGCAGCGGCCGGACCGGUUCAUGGGCUUCUUCCACUAGGCGUUCCUGAGCCGGUUUUUCUGCCGGUUCUUCAGGGCGCAGUUCCACAAGGAGUUCGAGCAGUUGAAGUGGGUGGAGUACGGGUGGGCGAUGUGGGAGCUGCAGCUGGAGUUCCUCCACCGGAGGCCGCGCGGGCUGAGGGAGUGGAGGUUCCUGUUCUUCCACCCGCGGCGGUUCCGGCGGUUCCGGUUCGAGCUCCUCGCCAAGUUCUGGCCGUUCUUGUCCACCAAGAAGUGGUUCGAGGCGAAGAUCCGGUAGGCAAACUGGCCAGCGCGUCCCAACAGAGACGGCAAUGAUGAUGGGCUUGGGAAAUGUAAAAAUCAACGAACAAUAGCCACUGACAACGACGCGAAUUCUACAGGACAAAACCAUAACGGGUACUUCUUCUGAGACAAAUCACACCUAGAAUACUCUAUACUACUACAAAGUACACAACUUAGUACACUUCUUAUCUAGAAACAACCUUAAAACAACUCGCAAUAAUGAAGAACUCUAUACGACAGACAACGCAGG
RNAcentral lists this ribosomal RNA (758 nucleotides) under Triticum aestivum (bread wheat). RNAcentral's name for it is "partial small subunit ribosomal RNA". Lineage: Eukaryota; Viridiplantae; Streptophyta; Magnoliopsida; Poales; Poaceae. The record is from RNAcentral.